Long non-coding RNA from Balaenoptera musculus (blue whale), 500 nucleotides. RefSeq lists it as uncharacterized. The record is from RefSeq and is a predicted model, not a curated record. Lineage: Eukaryota; Metazoa; Chordata; Mammalia; Artiodactyla; Balaenopteridae. The transcript is spliced from 3 exons.
ACAAAUGAGUUUCCUUCCCCCGCGCCCCGAGGCUCUGUCCUCAGUCCUCCGAGUCACCAGAGGCCCAUCGGACAGGCGGCCGUGCUGCGGGCAGGACGGUGUCGGAGGAGAGACGGGAGGGAGGAGCAUCCUGGUGAGUCCUGAUGGAAGCGGCUCCUAGAGGCCGAGGGUUUCCGGUCGCGAGGAGCCGCCCUGGCAGCCUCGGCUCGGAGGGAGAAGGCCCUGCCCCUGCCGGACCCGACAGAAAGGAGAUUUCACAUGGAACUUGGACUUCUGUCUCUACUAGGCAGCCCUGGACUGACAUUCCAGGGAGCGGGAGCAUCAGGACAGCCCACCUGCCACGGAGACCAGUGGAGCCGAAAGGAUUUGCUGACACUUUGGAGAGAGGAUUACAGAGAGGAUUCAAUCGUGACUCCUAGGCAUGUGGCUUGAGCAACUAAAGGAUGCGGCUGCCAUGACUAAGAAGAGGCAGACCAUGGGAGGUGCCAAUGGAGGAGGUG